GAUCCCAUGCCGAACUCAGAAGUGAAACGCCGUAGCGCCGAUGGUAGUGUGGGGUCUCCCCAUGUGAGAGUAGGGAAUUGCCAAGC
This 86-nucleotide ribosomal RNA is filed under the name Proteus mirabilis. Lineage: Bacteria; Pseudomonadati; Pseudomonadota; Gammaproteobacteria; Enterobacterales; Morganellaceae. The record is from RNAcentral.